Molecule: small nuclear RNA, 164 nt
Organism: Pteronotus mesoamericanus
Lineage: Eukaryota; Metazoa; Chordata; Mammalia; Chiroptera; Mormoopidae
Product: U1 spliceosomal RNA
Exons: 1
Source: RefSeq, a predicted model, not a curated record
CUACUUACCUGGCAGGGGAGAUGCCACGAUCACAGAGGAGGUUUUCCCAGGGCGAGGCUUGUCCACUGCGCUCCGGGUGUGCCGACCCCUGCAGUGUCCCCAAACGUGGGAAGCUCAGCUGCAUAAUUUGUGGCAGUGGGGGACUGCAUUCAUGCUCUCCCCUA